AUGGAGGCUUGUGUCGUCUCUUGCGACAACAAAGGAGAAGAGUGUGCCAUGAUAGUGGAUAGCAACGUGGAGGAUGAAGCGAAUGCAAUGUUAUUUUCUCUCCUCAUGCUCCUGAUCUUAAGGUCCAUAAAGUCGCUAAUUGUAGCGGGCUUGCUGAUCUUCUCCGAGUCAACAUCCUUUUCGCCUGUUAGCAUGCUGACGACAGUUGACAUAGUGGGUCGAUGUCUUGUGACAUCUUGUGUACAGAGAAGUCCAACUUUCAGGAACCUGCAGGCUUGUUCAAUAUCCAUAUCAUCACCCGCAGAACUGUCUAUGAUUUUCGCCAAAUCUCCCUGCUCAUAA
This 342-nucleotide ribosomal RNA is filed under the name Triticum aestivum (bread wheat). Its description in RNAcentral is "partial small subunit ribosomal RNA". The record is from RNAcentral. Lineage: Eukaryota; Viridiplantae; Streptophyta; Magnoliopsida; Poales; Poaceae.